Prinia subflava (tawny-flanked prinia) is the source of this 590-nucleotide long non-coding RNA. RefSeq lists it as uncharacterized. The record is from RefSeq and is a predicted model, not a curated record. NCBI's taxonomy places the organism in Eukaryota, Metazoa, Chordata, Aves, Passeriformes, Cisticolidae. The transcript has 3 exons.
UGAAGAGGGUCAUGGGGGAAGAUGCUUCACUAAACCUUGGACUCUCAGUAAAGGCUACCACUCCAGAUAAUCCUGUGUCUCCUUUUAUGCUGCAUCAGUAACUGUUUCUUGGGCUGCUCUUACUCUGCUUCUUGUGGGGGACAUCCACAACCUCUUCCAGGAUAUCCAAGUACAGCUUGCUCAACAGAGUGGCUAGGCUGGCCACCACCUGUGGCUGGGAUCCCUUCUAUUCGAGGGGUGGCUGUCCCCAUCUACAUCCACCUGUGAAUGAAUUGACAGGCAACAGGUUGCAGAAUUCAGAUGAUGGCUUGAAUAAAUAAAAAAAUGCAUAAAAUGUACCACAGUUCCCCUGCAAAGCAUCCUUGGCUGCCUGAUGGCAAUGGACACAACCAUCUAUGUCUGCAGUUGCGUGUCACUUCAAUGCCAGAGAUUUCUGAAUCAACUGGGGAGAUGUUGACAUCUGCCUGAAUCUUUACUUUCCCUGGCUAAUGAAAAGGAUAUCUGAAAUUUUGUGGGCUGUCAGGUAGGCUCUGCUCUGUACCAGACUCUGUAACUAGCCUGGAUUGCAGUCCAUUCUCAUUUGACUCAGU